CACACGACUCUCGGCAACGGAUAUCUUGGCUCUCGCAUCGAUGAAGAACGUAGCGAAAUGCGAUACCUGGUGUGAAUUGCAGAAUCCCAUGAACCAUCGAGUCUUUGAACGCAAGUUGCGCCCGAGGCCAUUCGGCCGAGGGCACGCCUGCCUGGGCGUCACGC
RNAcentral lists this ribosomal RNA (164 nucleotides) under Oryza latifolia. Its description in RNAcentral is "5.8S ribosomal RNA". It matches the Rfam family "5.8S ribosomal RNA". From Rfam's summary of the family: 5.8S ribosomal RNA (5.8S rRNA) is a component of the large subunit of the eukaryotic ribosome. The record is from RNAcentral. Lineage: Eukaryota; Viridiplantae; Streptophyta; Magnoliopsida; Poales; Poaceae.